GGGUCCCUACGGGAGGCAGCAGUGGGGAAUAUUGCACAAUGGGGGGAACCCUGAUGCAGCGACGCCGCGUGGGUGAAGGAGCACCUCGGUGCGUAAAGCCCUAUCGGCAGGGAAGAAAAGCGAACAGGUUCGCCUGGACGGUACCUGACUAAGAAGCCCCGGCUAACUACGUGCCAGCAGCCGCGGUAAUAAGAAGGGGGCAAGCGUUAUCCGGAUUCACUGGGGGUAAAGGGAACGGAGACGGCGACGCAAGUCUGGCGU
Molecule: ribosomal RNA, 261 nt
Filed under: uncultured bacterium
Lineage: Bacteria
Description: partial 16S ribosomal RNA
Rfam family: Bacterial small subunit ribosomal RNA
Source: RNAcentral